This is a long non-coding RNA of Apodemus sylvaticus (European woodmouse), 2270 nucleotides long. RefSeq lists it as uncharacterized. The transcript has 2 exons. Lineage: Eukaryota; Metazoa; Chordata; Mammalia; Rodentia; Muridae. The record is from RefSeq and is a predicted model, not a curated record.
UCUUUCUUUCUUUUUUUUUCUUUUUAAAAUUUAUUUAUUUUAUGUAUAUGAGUACACUGUAGCUGUACUGAUAGUUGUGAGCCAUCAUGUGGUUGCUGGGAAUUUGAAUUCAGGACCUCUGCUCUCUCUGGUCGGCCCUGCUCAUAUUAUUAUAUCUAAGUACGCUGUAGCUGUCUUCAGACACACCAGAGGAGGGCAUCAAGUCACUUUUAUGGAUGGUUGUGAGCCACCAUGUAGUUGCUGGGAUUUGAACUCAGGACCUCUGGAAGAGCAGUCAGUGCUCUUAACCGCUAAGUCAUCUUUCCAGCCUGCCUUGGCUUUUCUAGAACUUGUUCUGUAGACAUGCCUGGCUUCAAACUCAUAUCUACCUGUCACUAACUAACUGGGAUUAAAGGUAUAUGCCACCACCUUGAGAAUUUAUAUCAUAAAGAUGGCUCUAAGACCAGGCUUAGUAGCAAACACCUUUCAUCCCAGAAUUUGGGUGGUAGACACAGACAGCUCUGUGAAAUUGGGGCUAGCCUAUAUAAGUAAGGAGAACCUGCCUCAGAAUAAAGUUAAACAAAACCACACACACAUAACAAGAAUAAAGGAAAGGGAGAAAAAGGUGUCUGGUUUGUCCAAAGGUUUGCUGUGUGGUGUACACAAUUCUAGUAGCCUCUGGCCCCAUUUUCUUUAAAGGAGAAAAGGCCUGAGGAUAGAUGGGCUGAUUGUUGACUGAUAGCCCUCCCCCUUCUUACUGAUGUGUAGUCGCUUGUUAACGUAUAAAACAACUCCAGCAUGCUCGUGUCCUUCGUUGAGGGCCAUGUGCACGCCAUGCCAUGCUGUGGAGCUGCACCAGCCUUAGAUCACUCUCACUAGCAAGGAAAAAUUCACGUGGAUGUCCUGGGUCCUUGACUUAACAAUCUGUGUGAUUGCCAAAGGGUACAGGCCUGGGGACCGUGGUAUCUGCAGGCCUCACCCGCCUUGUGUGGCCCUGGCCCUCAUGGCUCUGGCAGUUGGAGCUGCUAACUUUUUUAUCCUCUGUAUCUUACCCUUCAUUUCCAUUACUCCCCGCUGGUCUGCUUUGUUUUUCUGUUAUCUAAACAACCACAUCAGUCCUUUGUGGUUUUCAUAUUUUUCCUUGUAGAAAUUACAGACAGAGCAGUAAGCAAGAAUUUUCCCCGUUAGUGAGAUGAGACUAGUUCUAUAGGUGAUCCCUGGCCUUCAUAUGAGUUGGCAUUGACCAGUGACUACGAGAGAGAUGCUUGAGCAUUCCUGAAGCCUGCUACAGCUGAGCUUCCAAGUUCCCCAUCUAAUAGCACCACGAGUGUUGGUAUCAGAUAAUUCUGAUUUUAAGUCAUUAGCUGUGUAAAGGUCAUAAUUGUCCUAAUCCUCCACCUUUUCUAUAAAAUCAAAAUGUUAUCUUGGAGAUUUAUUGUGAGAAUUGGAAAUUAAGAUCUAAGCCAGGUAGUGGUGGCGCACACCUGUAAUCCUGGCACCUGGGAGGCAGAGGCAGGUGGAUUUCUGAGUUUGAGGCCAGCCUGGUCUACAGAGUGAGUUCCAGGACAGCCGGGGGCUACACAGAAAAACCCUGUCUUGAAAAACCAAAAAAGAAAAAAGAAAUGAAGAUCUGUAGAAUACUCAAAUGCACUCAAUACACAUGAAGUGCUCUGUGUAAAACUCGAGUAACAAGGAGUGGUCAUCUUGUUUUGUUUUAAUUUGUAUGGGUACACUGUAGUGGUCUUCAAACACACCAGAAGAUGGCAUUGGAUUCCAUUACGGAUGGUUGUGAGCCACCAUGUGGUUGCUGGGAAUUGAACUCAGGACCCCUGGAAGAGUAGUCAGUGCUCUUUACCACUCAGCUGUCUCUCCAGUCCUGGUCAUCUUGCUUUUUAUUCAGGGUCUUUUUGUUGUGUUUGAAUUAUUGUUCAGUCUUUUGCCUCAAUGAAUUCAUUUGUCAUACCAACCGUGUCUUAGGUUUGUGGUAGGACAGAGGUAUAUCCUGUUAAAACUUUAUAUUUGAUUUCACAAGGGACUUUUUUUUUAAGAUUAAUUUAUUUUAUUAUAUGAAUACACUGUAGCUGUCUUCAGACACCCCAGAAGAGGGCAUCAUAUCUCAUUACAGAUGGUUGUGAGCCACCAUGUGGUUGCUGGGGAUUUAACUCAAAAGAGCAGUCAAUGCUCUUAACCACUGAGCCAUCUCUCCAGCCCCGCAAGGGACAUUUUAUAAGUGGAAGCGGUGAUAGUUAGCUGGCAAUAGCUGUAGUAGUUAGUGGAUUUUUUUUUUUUUU